This 18-nucleotide small nuclear RNA is filed under the name Arabidopsis thaliana (thale cress). Its description in RNAcentral is "snRNA_02369". The record is from RNAcentral. Lineage: Eukaryota; Viridiplantae; Streptophyta; Magnoliopsida; Brassicales; Brassicaceae.
CCUACCUAUUUGUAUCUU